GGAAGAAGAAGAGGACAAAGAAGAGGUGGAGGAAGAAGAGGAGGAGGAGAAAGAGGAGGAGGAGGAUAGAGAGGUUGACGGAGAUAUUGAUGCAAGACUUGAUGGCAACGACAGCGCAGGAGAUGAUGACGAUGAAGAAGAUGAGGAUGUUGAUCGUGAUGAUCAAGGGAAAGAGGGGGGAGACAUCAACAGAGGUGAUGACAAUGAUGACAGGGGCCCUGGUUCUGGGGGUAUAGGCGGCAACACAACUAGGGGGGCUAGCAGCACUGACAAUCCUGACAGCAGCAGCAACUCAAUGAACAGCAAGAGCACACUACAGAUGUGGAUGGACAAAACUUGCUGGAAGGAUGAGGAUUUUCCAAAGUCAAAGAAAAAUGAUGAACCAUUGUCUCACGAGGGCAUUGACAUGUUCAAGCUUUGCAACUUGAAGACCGUUUUGCCAACCCCUUUUCAUGUUCCAGAUUUUCAUCUUCAAGAGAUGUUUGAGAAGACUAAUUUCGCCGUUGAGCAACAGUUGUUUUUCCUAAGUCGGGCUAAAAAGAACUGAGUUGAUAUGGAGGAAGCAGGGAAGGUUAUUGACUGGUGUCAUUCAAAGUCAAAAUACAAGGAAUAUUUGAGCAGGAUCCCUGAACCAAGACGUGGCAAGAGGGAGGCAACAUUCGUGGCAAAUCUUCCUAUGAUCCAUAAGUGCAAGACACUUUCAAUGAAGAAAAAUUUGAAGUUGCCUGAAACCAAGCAACCGGUGUUGUGGGAAGAUGCUGAAAUAAAUUCGGAGAAGGAAACUACCUCCGCUGCUGACUUGGCACCAACUGCUGUGAGGAGGGAGCCAAACACUACUGAACAGGGACAGCUGUCCAUGUUGAGCCUACAACUGUCCCAGAAGUUCAACACUUCAAGGGGAAGACCCCUCUAUCAGCGCUACCACCUAAACUAGUUAAGCAGAAGAAGACUGUUAAGUUUUCCAAGGGCGCAAAGGGGGAAUAGGUCAGGAAAGUUGUGGGGCUGAGGCAGGAGCCACAAUAGCGCGUCAUUGCAAUUGAUGCAGGAGUGCCAAGUUCAGCCAGCUUUCUGGCAACUGAGGUUGAAAAGAUGACAACUGAAGCUACUACUGCACCAACUGAAUUCUCAAUUAGCAGCGGGGUCACAGUCAGAACUACCACUGUUGCUCAGGAAGCGACCACUGCAACUGCAAGGCCCAAGGUGCCAACUCCUACAGCUGCAUCAAUGUCAAAUGUCAAUGGACAUGAACAAUCUGCCCAACUCCCAUCUCCAAGAGCUAACACACAAUAGCCAAGCAAGCUUGCAUCACCAAGAGCUGUUUUUCCGUGCACAUUGACACAGAAGGAGGUGUUCAGUAUUGAAGCAAGUGCAAGCCUCCUAGGUCGCCAACUACAACACUCUUGCGAACCAAGUCAGCUAAUGAUGCACCAGUGAGUGUGCCGCAACUGUAAGCAGGGACCCUAGGCCAUCAACCCAUAUGCGGUCCAAGCUCAUACACCUUUCAUGGCGACGGUUCUGGAGAUGUGCCAACUUUUGACCUUGGUAUAGAUGAUACCACCAAGCAUGCUAUAGCAGCAUAAACAGGAGAAGCAAAUCUAGAUUCAGUAAGAGUGAAUGAGGCAUGUGUUGCUGCUGAUGCUGGCAAAGGAAUAGUUCACCCUUCGAGAUGUUGCAUCACGAGACAGCUGCCACGCCCCGAUCUGUGGACAAGCAAAAGUUGGCACGAGCGGUUCUUUAGGACCAGUUGUCGCACGAAGACAGAGGAGGGUAAUAAGGCCCGGAGCAUGUCAACGGUCUCCAGUCAUUGAUUACAAUGGAAAGAAUAUGUUCAACAUCAUUGAAGCAAUCAACAAGCUCUUCGCUGCUCACGUGUAUUGGGUUAGAAACCACCCAGGAGCAAAUGAUGAUGCCACCACGUAAACCAAUAGCACCCACAUAGUUGCACAAUACCACCCAUUUAGUUGCACACCAGAGUAGAGCGGGUUGCACAGAACAGGGCUUGUAGUUGUAGACUCUCAACUUUUUGUUUAAUACACAAUAUUCUAAAGCACUGACCUUUGAACUUAACUUUCCUUCUCUUUUUUCAGCCCUGAGAUAGUAAACUAUGAUGGUUUCUACAUUUCUCUCAAUGAGUUGGUCGAUUACAUGAAGCCUCUUCAAUGGCUAUCAAGCAUGGUUAUUCAGAUUGCAAUCAUACACAUCAUCAAAAACUUACCACAAGGGUCAAGGGAAGUCAUUAUGCCAUUGAGGCUAUCUGAUUUGCCACAUGUUUACCAUCUCUGCAAGCGAAGUUACAGCAAGGGAUGUACAAUGUGCCACACAUAAACAAAAUAUUCAAAUACAAGAACCGACUUGACAAACAAGACAUGGUCAUGCUGUCGGUGCUUGAGUGCUCUGAUCCAAACCACCCUGAAGAAGGAACGCACUAUUGGGUCUUCAACGUAAACUUGAGGGAUGAAUGAUUCGAAGUUCUCAAUUCUAAUAGGAAGCUGGAGGACAUUGAGUUGAUGAACACCACCUCUACCAUCGCGGGGGCAGUACGGAUGCUAUGGAGGAAGCAUUACCCAAAGUCCAACAUUGAACACUUCGAUAUCAUUGACAUCGAUGUACCGAAGCAGCACGGGAAGUACGACAAGAAGCAUGUUAUUCUUCCAGAUCUAUAGUUUUUUAAAUUUUAUAGACGUACAAUUUUUGUUCUUCAAAUGAUUAUUUGUAUCAAGACACGCAAUUAGUUUGCACGGGAUAAUCUAGGCAGUUGCAAAGUGGACAUCAUUAGUUGGACAGUGGUACAUAAUUAGUUGCACAGUGGAAAC
Hordeum vulgare subsp. vulgare (domesticated barley) is the source of this 2813-nucleotide RNA transcript. RefSeq lists it as uncharacterized. NCBI's taxonomy places the organism in Eukaryota, Viridiplantae, Streptophyta, Magnoliopsida, Poales, Poaceae. The record is from RefSeq and is a predicted model, not a curated record. The transcript has 3 exons.